This 465-nucleotide ribosomal RNA is filed under the name uncultured bacterium. RNAcentral's name for it is "bacterial SSU rRNA". It matches the Rfam family "Bacterial small subunit ribosomal RNA", at positions 338 to 795 of the family's 1533-position model. The record is from RNAcentral.
CCUACGGGUGGCAGCAGUAGGGAAUCUUCGGCAAUGGACGAAAGUCUGACCGAGCAACGCCGCGUGAGUGAAGAAGGUUUUCGGAUCGUAAAACUCUGUUGUUAGAGAAGAACAAGUAGGAGAGUAACUGCUCUUACCUUGACGGUAUCUAACCAGAAAGCCACGGCUAACUACGUGCCAGCAGCCGCGGUAAUACGUAGGUGGCAAGCGUUGUCCGGAUUUAUUGGGCGUAAAGCGAGCGCAGGCGGUCUUUUAAGUCUGAUGUGAAAGCCCUCGGCUCAACCGUGGAGGGUCAUUGGAAACUGGGGGACUUGAGUGCAGAAGAGGAGAGUGGAAUUCCACGUGUAGCGGUGAAAUGCGUAGAGAUGUGGAGGAACACCAGUGGCGAAGGCGACUCUCUGGUCUGUAACUGACGCUGAGGAGCGAAAGCGUGGGGAGCGAACAGGAUUAGAUACCCCUGUAGUC